AGAGUUUGAUCCUGGCUCAGGAUGAACGCUGGCGGCGUGCCUAACACAUGCAAGUCGAACGGAGCACUGAGACUUCGGUUUUUGUGCUUAGUGGCGGACGGGUGAGUAACGCGUGAGCAAUCUGCCUUUCAGAGGGGGAUAACGACUGGAAACGGUCGCUAAUACCGCAUAACGUAUUUUGCAGGCAUCUGCGAGAUACCAAAGGAGCAAUCCGCUGAAAGAUGAGCUCGCGUCUGAUUAGAUAGUUGGUGAGGUAACGGCCCACCAAGUCGACGAUCAGUAGCCGGACUGAGAGGUUGAACGGCCACAUUGGGACUGAGACACGGCCCAGACUCCUACGGGAGGCAGCAGUGGGGAAUAUUGCGCAAUGGGGGAAACCCUGACGCAGCAACGCCGCGUGAUCGAAGAAGGUCUUCGGAUUGUAAAGAUCUUUUAUCAGGGACGAAGAAAGUGACGGUACCUGAUGAAUAAGCUCCGGCUAACUACGUGCCAGCAGCCGCGGUAAUACGUAGGGAGCGAGCGUUAUCCGGAUUUACUGGGUGUAAAGGGCGAGUAGGCGGGCUGGUAAGUUGGAAGUGAAAUGUCGGGGCUUAACCCCGGAACUGCUUUCAAAACUGCUGGUCUUGAGUGAUGGAGAGGCAGGCGGAAUUCCUAGUGUAGCGGUGAAAUGCGUAGAUAUUAGGAGGAACACCAGUGGCGAAGGCGGCCUGCUGGACAUUAACUGACGCUGAGGAGCGAAAGCGUGGGGAGCAAACAGGAUUAGAUACCCUGGUAGUCCACGCCGUAAACGAUGGAUACUAGGUGUGGGAGGUAUUGACCCCUUCCGUG
Molecule: ribosomal RNA, 828 nt
Filed under: uncultured bacterium
Lineage: Bacteria
Description: bacterial SSU rRNA
Rfam family: Bacterial small subunit ribosomal RNA
Source: RNAcentral